GUUCAGUGGUAGAAUUCUCACCUUCCACGUGGGAGGCCUGGGUUCAAUUCCUGG
This 54-nucleotide transfer RNA is filed under the name Loxodonta africana (African savanna elephant). It matches the Rfam family "tRNA", at positions 10 to 63 of the family's 71-position model. Rfam says of the family: Transfer RNA (tRNA) molecules are approximately 80 nucleotides in length. Their secondary structure includes four short double-helical elements and three loops (D, anti-codon, and T loops). Further hydrogen bonds mediate the characteristic L-shaped molecular structure. tRNAs have two regions of fundamental functional importance: the anti-codon, which is responsible for specific mRNA codon recognition, and the 3' end, to which the tRNAs corresponding amino acid is attached (by aminoacyl-tRNA synthetases). tRNAs cope with the degeneracy of the genetic code in two manners: having more than one tRNA (with a specific anti-codon) for a particular amino acid; and 'wobble' base-pairing, i.e. permitting non-standard base-pairing at the 3rd anti-codon position. The record is from Rfam by way of RNAcentral. Lineage: Eukaryota; Metazoa; Chordata; Mammalia; Proboscidea; Elephantidae.